This 1989-nucleotide ribosomal RNA is filed under the name Staphylococcus aureus. RNAcentral describes it as "partial 23S ribosomal RNA". It matches the Rfam family "Bacterial large subunit ribosomal RNA", at positions 826 to 2815 of the family's 2925-position model. Lineage: Bacteria; Bacillati; Bacillota; Bacilli; Caryophanales; Staphylococcaceae. The record is from RNAcentral.
AUUCCAAUCGAACCUGGAGAUAGCUGGUUCUCUCCGAAAUAGCUUUAGGGCUAGCCUCAAGUGAUGAUUAUUGGAGGUAGAGCACUGUUUGGACGAGGGGCCCCUCUCGGGUUACCGAAUUCAGACAAACUCCGAAUGCCAAUUAAUUUAACUUGGGAGUCAGAACAUGGGUGAUAAGGUCCGUGUUCGAAAGGGAAACAGCCCAGACCACCAGCUAAGGUCCCAAAAUAUAUGUUAAGUGGAAAAGGAUGUGGCGUUGCCCAGACAACUAGGAUGUUGGCUUAGAAGCAGCCAUCAUUUAAAGAGUGCGUAAUAGCUCACUAGUCGAGUGACACUGCGCCGAAAAUGUACCGGGGCUAAACAUAUUACCGAAGCUGUGGAUUGUCCUUUGGACAAUGGUAGGAGAGCGUUCUAAGGGCGUUGAAGCAUGAUCGUAAGGACAUGUGGAGCGCUUAGAAGUGAGAAUGCCGGUGUGAGUAGCGAAAGACGGGUGAGAAUCCCGUCCACCGAUUGACUAAGGUUUCCAGAGGAAGGCUCGUCCGCUCUGGGUUAGUCGGGUCCUAAGCUGAGGCCGACAGGCGUAGGCGAUGGAUAACAGGUUGAUAUUCCUGUACCACCUAUAAUCGUUUUAAUCGAUGGGGGGACGCAGUAGGAUAGGCGAAGCGUGCGAUUGGAUUGCACGUCUAAGCAGUAAGGCUGAGUAUUAGGCAAAUCCGGUACUCGUUAAGGCUGAGCUGUGAUGGGGAGAAGACAUUGUGUCUUCGAGUCGUUGAUUUCACACUGCCGAGAAAAGCCUCUAGAUAGAAAAUAGGUGCCCGUACCGCAAACCGACACAGGUAGUCAAGAUGAGAAUUCUAAGGUGAGCGAGCGAACUCUCGUUAAGGAACUCGGCAAAAUGACCCCGUAACUUCGGGAGAAGGGGUGCUCUUUAGGGUUAACGCCCAGAAGAGCCGCAGUGAAUAGGCCCAAGCGACUGUUUAUCAAAAACACAGGUCUCUGCUAAACCGUAAGGUGAUGUAUAGGGGCUGACGCCUGCCCGGUGCUGGAAGGUUAAGAGGAGUGGUUAGCUUCUGCGAAGCUACGAAUCGAAGCCCCAGUAAACGGCGGCCGUAACUAUAACGGUCCUAAGGUAGCGAAAUUCCUUGUCGGGUAAGUUCCGACCCGCACGAAAGGCGUAACGAUUUGGGCACUGUCUCAACGAGAGACUCGGUGAAAUCAUAGUACCUGUGAAGAUGCAGGUUACCCGCGACAGGACGGAAAGACCCCGUGGAGCUUUACUGUAGCCUGAUAUUGAAAUUCGGCACAGCUUGUACAGGAUAGGUAGGAGCCUUUGAAACGUGAGCGCUAGCUUACGUGGAGGCGCUGGUGGGAUACUACCCUAGCUGUGUUGGCUUUCUAACCCGCACCACUUAUCGUGGUGGGAGACAGUGUCAGGCGGGCAGUUUGACUGGGGCGGUCGCCUCCUAAAAGGUAACGGAGGCGCUCAAAGGUUCCCUCAGAAUGGUUGGAAAUCAUUCAUAGAGUGUAAAGGCAUAAGGGAGCUUGACUGCGAGACCUACAAGUCGAGCAGGGUCGAAAGACGGACUUAGUGAUCCGGUGGUUCCGCAUGGAAGGGCCAUCGCUCAACGGAUAAAAGCUACCCCGGGGAUAACAGGCUUAUCUCCCCCAAGAGUUCACAUCGACGGGGAGGUUUGGCACCUCGAUGUCGGCUCAUCGCAUCCUGGGGCUGUAGUCGGUCCCAAGGGUUGGGCUGUUCGCCCAUUAAAGCGGUACGCGAGCUGGGUUCAGAACGUCGUGAGACAGUUCGGUCCCUAUCCGUCGUGGGCGUAGGAAAUUUGAGAGGAGCUGUCCUUAGUACGAGAGGACCGGGAUGGACAUACCUCUGGUGUACCAGUUGUCGUGCCAACGGCAUAGCUGGGUAGCUAUGUGUGGACGGGAUAAGUGCUGAAAGCAUCUAAGCAUGAAGCCCCCCUCAAGAUGAGAUUUCCC